GAUGAACGCUGGCGGCGUGCCUAAUACAUGCAAGUCGAGCGAACAGACGAGGAGCUUGCUCCUCUGACGUUAGCGGCGGACGGGUGAGUAACACGUGGAUAACCUACCUAUAAGACUGGGAUAACUUCGGGAAACCGGAGCUAAUACCGGAUAAUAUAUUGAACCGCAUGGUUCAAUAGUGAAAGACGGUUUUGCUGUCACUUAUAGAUGGAUCCGCGCCGCAUUAGCUAGUUGGUAAGGUAACGGCUUACCAAGGCAACGAUGCGUAGCCGACCUGAGAGGGUGGCGGGCCAAUCGGAGAGGGAAACACGGUCAAGCCUCCAGGGGGGGGAAGCAGUGGGAAAUCUUCCGAAAGGGGAAAAGGCCUACGGGAGCAACGCCGGGGGAGUGAUGAAGGUCUUCGUACCGAAAAAUUUUGUUAUUGGGGAAAAAAAAAUGUGAAAGUAAAUAUGCACGUCUUGAGGGUCCCUAAUAAGAGGGCCAGGGCAAACCCGGUC
This 497-nucleotide ribosomal RNA is filed under the name uncultured bacterium. RNAcentral describes it as "partial 16S ribosomal RNA". It matches the Rfam family "Bacterial small subunit ribosomal RNA", at positions 28 to 507 of the family's 1533-position model. The record is from RNAcentral.